UACGUAGGGGGCAAGCGUUGUCCGGAUUCAUUGGGCGUAAAGAGCGUGUAGGCGGCCAUGUAGGUCGGGUGUGAAAACUGGAGGCUCAACCUUCAGAGGUCGACCGAAACCAUCUGGCUAGAGUCCGGGAGAGGAGAGUGGAAUUCCUGGUGUAGCGGUGAAAUGCGCAGAUAUCAGGAAGAACACCCGUGGCGAAAGCGGCUCUCUGGAACGGUACUGACGCUGAGACGCGAAAGCGUGGGGAGCGAACAGG
RNAcentral lists this ribosomal RNA (253 nucleotides) under uncultured bacterium. RNAcentral's name for it is "partial 16S ribosomal RNA". It matches the Rfam family "Bacterial small subunit ribosomal RNA", at positions 524 to 776 of the family's 1533-position model. The record is from RNAcentral.